AGUUAACGCUGGCGGCGUGCCUAACACAUGCAAGUCGAGCGGAGUGUCAGCUGUAGCAAUACAGUAUGUGCUCAGCGGCAGACGGGUGAGUAAUACGUAGACAACCUUCCUUUUAGAGGGGGAUAGCCUGCCGAAAGGCGGGGUAAUACCGCGUACGAUCACGGACCGGCAUCGGUUCGGGAUGAAACAUCCGCAAGGAUGGCUAGAAGACGGGUCUACGGCCUAUCAGCUUGUUGGUGAGGUAACAGCUCACCAAGGCUAAGACGGGUAACCGGCCUGAAAGGGUGGACGGUCACACUGACACUGGGACACGGGUCAGGACACCUACGGGAGGCAG
Molecule: ribosomal RNA, 337 nt
Filed under: uncultured Elusimicrobia bacterium
Lineage: Bacteria; Pseudomonadati; Elusimicrobiota; Elusimicrobia
Description: partial 16S ribosomal RNA
Rfam family: Bacterial small subunit ribosomal RNA
Source: RNAcentral